CCGCGGGAGUGAUGAAGGCCUUCGGGUCGUAAAACUCUGUCCUCAAGGAAGAUAAUGACGGUACUUGAGGAGGAAGCCCCGGCUAACUACGUGCCAGCAGCCGCGGUAAUACGUAGGGGGCUAGCGUUAUCCGGAUUUACUGGGCGUAAAGGGUGCGUAGGCGGUCUUUCAAGGCAGGAGUGAAAGGCUACGGCUCAACCGUAGUAAGCUCUUGAAACUGGGAGACUUGAGUGCAGGAGAGGAGAGUGGAAUUCCUAGUGUAGCGGUGAAAUGCGUAGAUAUUAGGAGGAACACCAGUUGC
Molecule: ribosomal RNA, 301 nt
Filed under: Clostridioides difficile
Lineage: Bacteria; Bacillati; Bacillota; Clostridia; Peptostreptococcales; Peptostreptococcaceae
Description: bacterial SSU rRNA
Rfam family: Bacterial small subunit ribosomal RNA
Source: RNAcentral